Small nuclear RNA from Heterocephalus glaber (naked mole-rat), 32 nucleotides. NCBI's taxonomy places the organism in Eukaryota, Metazoa, Chordata, Mammalia, Rodentia, Bathyergidae. The record is from Ensembl.
GUGUUGUAUGAAAGGAGAGAAGGUUAGCAAUG